RNAcentral lists this ribosomal RNA (374 nucleotides) under uncultured Allobrachymonas sp. Its description in RNAcentral is "bacterial SSU rRNA". It matches the Rfam family "Bacterial small subunit ribosomal RNA", at positions 1003 to 1382 of the family's 1533-position model. Lineage: Bacteria; Pseudomonadati; Pseudomonadota; Betaproteobacteria; Burkholderiales; Comamonadaceae. The record is from RNAcentral.
GAGAUUGGGAGUGCUCGAAAGAGAACCUGCACACAGGUGCUGCAUGGCUGUCGUCAGCUCGUGUCGUGAGAUGUUGGGUUAAGUCCCGCAACGAGCGCAACCCUUGCCAUUAGUUGCUACGAAAGGGCACUCUAAUGGGACUGCCGGUGACAAACCGGAGGAAGGUGGGGAUGACGUCAAGUCCUCAUGGCCCUUAUAGGUGGGGCUACACACGUCAUACAAUGGCCGGUACAGAGGGUAGCCAACCCGCGAGGGGGAGCCAAUCCCACAAAGCCGGUCGUAGUCCGAAUCGCAGUCUGCAACUCGACUGCGUGAAGUCGGAAUCGCUAGUAAUCGCAGGUCAGCAUACUGCGGUGAAUACGUUCCCGGGCCUU